GACGAACGCUGGCGGCGUGCCUAAUACAUGCAAGUCGAACGAGAGCGACCGGUGCUUGCACUGGUCAAUCUAGUGGCGAACGGGUGAGUAACACGUGGGUAACCUGCCCAUCAGAGGGGGAUAACAUCCGGAAACGGAUGCUAAAACCGCAUAGGUCUUCGAACCGCAUGGUUUGAAGAGCAAAAGAGGCGCAAGCUUCUGCUGAUGGAUGGACCCGCGGUGCAUUAGCUAGUUGGUGAGGUAACGGCUCACCAAGGCCGUGAUGCAUAGCCGACCUGAGAGGGUGAUCGGCCACAUUGGGACUGAGACACGGCCCAAACUCCUACGGGAGGCAGCAGUAGGGAAUCUUCCGCAAUGGACGCAAGUCUGACGGAGCAACGCCGCGUGAGUGAAGAAGGUUUUCGGAUCGUAAAACUCUGUUGUUAGAGAAGAACAAGUGCUAGAGUAACUGUUAGCGCCUUGACGGUAUCUAACCAGAAAGCCACGGCUAACUACGUG
RNAcentral lists this ribosomal RNA (498 nucleotides) under uncultured bacterium. RNAcentral's name for it is "partial 16S ribosomal RNA". It matches the Rfam family "Bacterial small subunit ribosomal RNA", at positions 28 to 507 of the family's 1533-position model. The record is from RNAcentral.